Molecule: long non-coding RNA, 302 nt
Filed under: dengue virus type 2
Lineage: Riboviria; Orthornavirae; Kitrinoviricota; Flasuviricetes; Amarillovirales; Flaviviridae
Description: Dengue virus type 2 partial sfRNA1
Rfam family: Flavivirus DB element (bases 156-227)
Source: RNAcentral
CAGAAGUCAGGUCGGAUUAAGCCAUAGUACGGAAAAAACUAUGCUACCUGUGAGCCCCGUCCAAGGACGUAAAAAGAAGUCAGGCCACUACAAGUGCCAUAGCUUGAGUAAACUAUGCAGCCUGUAGCUCCACCUGAGGUGGAGCUACAGGCCUGGGAGGCCACAAACCAUGGAAGCUGUACGCAUGGCGUAGUGGACUAGCGGUUAGAGGAGACCCCUCCCUUGCAAAUCGCAGCAACAAUGGGGGCCCAAGGUGAGAUGAAGCUGUAGUCUCACUGAAAGGACUAGAGGUUAGAGGAGAC